Molecule: ribosomal RNA, 492 nt
Filed under: uncultured bacterium
Lineage: Bacteria
Description: partial 16S ribosomal RNA
Rfam family: Bacterial small subunit ribosomal RNA
Source: RNAcentral
AGUGAACGCUGGCGGUAGGCCUAACACAUGCAAGUCGAACGGCAGCACAGUAAGGGCUUGCUCUUACGGGUGGCGAGUGGCGGACGGGUGAGGAAUACAUCGGAAUCUACUUUUUCGUGGGGGAUAACGUAGGGAAACUUACGCUAAUACCGCAUACGACCUACGGGUGAAAGCAGGGGAUCUUCGGACCUUGCGCGAUUGAAUGAGCCGAUGUCGGAUUAGCUAGUUGGCGGGGUAAAGGCCCACCAAGGCGACGAUCCGUAGCUGGUCUGAGAGGAUGAUCAGCCACACUGGAACUGAGACACGGUCCAGACUCCUACGAGAGGCAGCAGUGGGGAAUAUUGGACAAUGGGCGCAAGCCUGAUCCAGCCAUACCGCGUGGGUGAAGAAGGCCUUCGGGUUGUAAAGCCCUUUUGUUGGGAAAGAAAAGCAGCAGGUUAAUACCCCGCUGUUCUGACGGUACCCAAAGAAUAAGCACCGGCUAACUUCGUG